This 253-nucleotide ribosomal RNA is filed under the name uncultured bacterium. RNAcentral describes it as "partial 16S ribosomal RNA". It matches the Rfam family "Bacterial small subunit ribosomal RNA", at positions 524 to 776 of the family's 1533-position model. The record is from RNAcentral.
UACAGAGGGGGCAAGCGUUAUUCGGAAUUAUUGGGCGUAAAGGGCGCGUAGGCGGCUUGGCAAGUGGAAGGUGAAAUCCCUCGGCUCAACCGGGGAACUGCGUCUGAGACUGAUGAGCUCGAGUGCAGGAGAGGAACGCGGAAUUCCAGGUGUAGCGGUGAAAUGCGUAGAUAUCUGGAGGAACACCGGUGGCGAAGGCGGCGUUCUGGACUGCAACUGACACUGAGGAACGAAAGCCAGGGGAGCAAACGGG